This is a non-coding RNA of Vicugna pacos (alpaca), 1154 nucleotides long. The record is from RefSeq and is a predicted model, not a curated record. NCBI's taxonomy places the organism in Eukaryota, Metazoa, Chordata, Mammalia, Artiodactyla, Camelidae.
GGGUGAAUGAUGCUAGCAUCCCAUUUAUUCUUUUCUCAGGAGUAGAAACCCUGAACAAAACUGCCUCUACUGGUUCAUUUGAACAUGGAAGUGUUGCUUGUUUACUUAGCCUGAUUGAGACGGCCCUGAGCCAGUACUGUCAUUACUUCUGUACUGAGUACCUGGCUUCUUCUGGAGGAGAAGAUGUGGUGUGAAGAGAGAGAAUUGCUGGUUGGGGGAGUUGGUUCCUGGCACUAACUCCUUGAUUGGAGGACCAUGAGAAAUCAUACCUUGUUAUUAAAUGUAUCCUUCUUCAUUGGCCAGUCUAUGCGUUGAGGUGGCUCCAAAACACAUUUGUUUACUGGCUAACCCUCUACAAAGGUUAUCUUGAGUCCUUCUUGGAAAGAAGAAAAAAUAAUUUUCACUGUUGGAGACUACAACAGCUGAAGAACUUUUAAAUUCCUGGAAGCAUCUCAGAAAAAAAGUAAUAUAAAGACUUUCUUCCAUGUAGAAAUAAAAACUGAGAGUCAGUUAAAUAUACUUUGAUAACAGCUGAAAUUCACGGGAUGUCACUAAUGUAUAUUUAUUGUUGCAUUUCUUUUUUUUUCCUUUAUUACAUUUCUUUAAAUCUGGUGUGCAUGAUAUUCCUUAAAACUAUUGUGGCAACAUCAGUAAUAUAUACUUAAUGCAUAUGUGUAGUUUUUAUUUUGCUGGAAAGUUACUUUUUUUUUUUUAGUAGAAAAAUUCUAAGCGAAUUAUAGAUGAGGUGUUCAGUGACAUCUGUUUUCCACACUGGGAGAGCUUAAUUGCCUGGUUUGUAUUCUACGAGGCCUCAUUGUGAACCUAAUGGCAGCUACCCAAAUUGGAGAUGCAGGGCCUGGGAGGGACCAGCUAGUUGCUGGGAUGCGCGCCCUGCAAGUUCAACCCCAUUAAGUGAUGGCAAAUGUCUCAAGAUGCUUUGCUGUUCUGGCCACUUGGCAAGGAAGCCUGGUCUAUAUUUGGAAUAUAAUUUUUGAAGGCGUCGCUCCUCUUGUAUUCUCCCCUGUGCUACAUUCCCUCUAUGGGAUUGUAAAAGUCAAGUAGCUGGCAUGAAUCAACACUUUGUCACUAGAAACAGAGGGAUUUCCAUAAUAUACCAGGUGGUGAUGUCAAAAAUAGCGACACCACAAUUUUAG